Molecule: transfer RNA, 74 nt
Organism: Methanosphaera stadtmanae DSM 3091
Lineage: Archaea; Methanobacteriati; Methanobacteriota; Methanobacteria; Methanobacteriales; Methanobacteriaceae
Rfam family: tRNA
About the family: Transfer RNA (tRNA) molecules are approximately 80 nucleotides in length. Their secondary structure includes four short double-helical elements and three loops (D, anti-codon, and T loops). Further hydrogen bonds mediate the characteristic L-shaped molecular structure. tRNAs have two regions of fundamental functional importance: the anti-codon, which is responsible for specific mRNA codon recognition, and the 3' end, to which the tRNAs corresponding amino acid is attached (by aminoacyl-tRNA synthetases). tRNAs cope with the degeneracy of the genetic code in two manners: having more than one tRNA (with a specific anti-codon) for a particular amino acid; and 'wobble' base-pairing, i.e. permitting non-standard base-pairing at the 3rd anti-codon position.
Source: Rfam
GCAGCGAUAGUCCAGGCUGGCUAAGACUCUACCCUGCCACGGUAGUGACCCGGGUUCAAAUCCCGGUCGUUGCA